This 1509-nucleotide long non-coding RNA is filed under the name Musa acuminata (dwarf banana). RNAcentral's name for it is "long non-coding RNA (MACU_LNC011657)". The stretch from base 106 to 206 matches the Rfam family "Small nucleolar RNA Z43". Lineage: Eukaryota; Viridiplantae; Streptophyta; Magnoliopsida; Zingiberales; Musaceae. The record is from RNAcentral.
UCCGCCCCUCUCUGUUUCUGCCCGCCUCUUCUCCUUCGAUCAGGUUGGCUUCCUUUAGGGUUUUCGUGUUUUUGCUAUUGCUACAUGGCAUCGUUCGUGGAAGAGGGACGAUGACGAAUGCGUUGAUUAAAGGUCUCGUUCGUCGUAAUGGCGGCACCACCGCCUUGCCGACCAUCCUGAUAUAUCACCACCCAUAUUCUGAGUCCCACUCUCUCCCUCUGCUUUUUCUUUUACUUUCGAUCUUUUAGCCACAAAGGUUUACUUUCAAUAUUUUGUUUGUGUGGCCGAUGAUUAAGCUGAUAAUAAUGACAAGCAUAUGUCUGAAGCUUAUCUGUGUGGAAUAGAUCUAAUCUUCUCUAUGAGGCCACCCUUUCGAUUUAUUUUUAUUUUUUCGUUUUAUUUUUGAAAUUUCUGGAUUUAUCGUCAGGAGAUUAAUGUGGGGCGUUUAAUUCUCUUGAUUUGAUAAGUUACAUGGUGGUUGAUGUUUCUGAUGGAGCCCAUGACGAGGAUUGUGAUACUUGUAUUUUGUCUGAGAUACUGUGAUUACAUCUUUACUACUGCCUUCCUUCUGAGGCUUCCAUCUGCAUGCUUUUUGAUUUUGGAUUUAGUAAUGUUGGUUCUUUUGUUUUGAUGUAAUAUGAUUAAUGGGCUGAAAUGGUCGCGCGAUGAUCGGUUGCAUAGUUCAAAUGAUCACCCCUUUGAGGGUAUGAUUAGUAUGAACGUCUUUCGCUCCUAUCUGAUGACCUAAACAUCUUUUGCCUUAAAUUAGAGUUUUUAUCUUCUUAUUGUUUAAAUGGAUUGACCUUUCUUAUUUUUGAGUUAUAAAAUGAUGUAAAAUUAUCCAUGGAACUGUAAUUUUUUCGAUUUUAUCUUUGAUUAAUAUAUGGUAUUUUAUAUGAUCGAGUUUUACCCGUGUAACUUUUUGAGAAAUUUCUGUGAUGUCAUCUGAAUCACAUAUUGGAACAUUCUUUUUAUUAUCACGAAUUCCUUUCUCGACUAAUAUAAACGUUCUCCAUCAUCCCUAGAGUCUACCGGUGAUUACUGCUUCAGGCGGCUGCGAUGAUCUCUGACGUUAAAACUGCAAUCCGUCUGCUUCGAUCCAAUAAACAGCCGUUUUUAUUCAGGGUCGAUUGUGUUGUAUGUGUAUAUUGAAUCAUAGCAUUGGAUAUUUGCACAAAUGUCUGAAUAUAUAUAAUUCUCACAAGGAUGGCCAGUUAUACCUAUAAAUUAGGCCUAUAAUUUUUGAAAAAUCUUAAAAUAUUGAUUAUAUGAAUUAAAAAGAAUGAUAAUAAAAAAUUCUCAGUUAGAAUUUUUAUAACACAUAAUGUUUUUUUUACUAAAUCGUAAAAAAAGUAUAACUCUAAUAGAAAACAUUAUAAUUUAAUUUCAAUUAAUUGAAAUUUUUAUUAACAAUAAAACACCAACAUUACAAAAAGUUUGGAGGUAUUAUAAAAAUAUUAAUAUAUGAAUGUGAAUGAUUUUUGUUGAAAAUGAUGAAGAUCUUGACAU